Astatotilapia calliptera (eastern happy) is the source of this 1602-nucleotide long non-coding RNA. Lineage: Eukaryota; Metazoa; Chordata; Actinopteri; Cichliformes; Cichlidae. The record is from Ensembl.
CCUCACUGUGUGUGAAGGACUUUUGAGAAGACUGUCUGAGCUUGACAUUUGCCAUGUUUGGAGUGAGAUGGCAAUGAAAGAGACAGUGGGACAAAGAGAGACACGGGACAAAGCUGAAGAAAACUGACUGCCAUUGGACUGAAAAGUGGGAGAGAAGGAAAGGAGCAGAAGAGGACUGAGGUGGCUGUUUUAGUGUGGGCAAUCAAAUUGGGGUUAAGGAAUCCGGGGAGACAAGCGACUGCCUGGAAGUGGAGGAUUGACACAGUGUCCAGACCACCACAAAAGGGGGAGGAAGACAAGCACUGAGGUAUGCAAGUGUACUGUUAGAAAAAUGGAAAGGUGACACCACACAUGCAGCUAAUAUGCACCAGAGAUAUAAAAAAAAAAUCAUACACAAAGUGUUACACAUUAAGAGAGGGCAUUUGUAGAAGGGGUUAACAACACACAGUGUGGUUGCCGAUGGUAACCUGCAAGCAUUUGGGGUUUAGCUGUGCCUGACUAUGACAGAGUUUUUCAUUUAGAUGUUUCUGAAACAAACUUUGGAGUGAACGGAGUUUGUUUCAGAAAAAAGGGGGAAGGUACAUGAAAGGAUACAUAAAGACAGAAAAUGUAUUAACCCGACACACACACACACACACACACACACACACACACACACACACACACACACACACACACACACACACACGUAAUGAAGAUAUGAAGAUCAAACACAAUUUUAAGUAGGUAAUACUGUCACCAUCAUCCUGUCUGGUUUAUUGAGUGGAUUGAGAACUGAUACAUAGACGACUGAAUUAGCAGGGUGAACAGAAUCCUGCAGCCAGAGUUUAAAUGAGUGAAACUAAAUGAGUGAAACUAGCAGAUUUUUGUUUUGUUUUUUGUUUUGUUUUGUUACUGAAGUAUGGGUGUUUUCUCACCUAUAAGAGAAAGAAUAUCCUGUGACAAGUCCUAAGACCGGGCUUCUGUAUUUUUUCUUUUUAUUUUGUUUUUCAGUUUUAUUUGUCAUUUUUCAUUUUAUUUUUAUUUUUUGAACAGUGCACUGAUUUUUGUUUGUGAAUUUCUUUUCUUUAAGCAGAUCUGCACGUCGGGAAUUAAAAGCGCUACACGUAAUCGAGAGAAUUGUUGCAAGUGAGUUUCUCCACAUUAAAAUGGGCUCUGGAGAAAGCCACUUAUUUGGGACAAUUAGAAAAUGAGAGUCUCUGCCUAAAAAAGAUUCAGCGAGGUAAUCCGAUCUAAAGUUCUUCUUCUUUUUCUUUUUGAAAUGACGUCAUUUUGCUGAAAGUGGAAACUAAAUGCGACGAUAGGUUCCACUAUCAGCAAAGAAAGAAAGAAUGGAUGAAUGAAUGAAUGAAUGAAUGAAUGAAUGAAUGAAUGAAUGAAUGGAAAUAAAAUAAAAACAAACUGACUGACUGGUAAAAGCUGACAAGACUUAACUACGACUCAAGGUUAAGCUCCACCUAGACAGGACAAAAGGGUGGAUGAAUUUAUGUGUUUCCUUUUACAGGAGCAGAAAGAUGACAGCAACAUCUGAGGUUGCGUGAUGGUUUCACCUUUUAAAUGCCAUUUUCUGUGUUUGUGAAUCUACCAGGGGUGUGUUAUUCA